Taeniopygia guttata (zebra finch) is the source of this 3266-nucleotide long non-coding RNA. NCBI's taxonomy places the organism in Eukaryota, Metazoa, Chordata, Aves, Passeriformes, Estrildidae. The record is from Ensembl.
UUUUUUUUUUUUAUGCAUCAUACACAUCCCGAGAGGUCCAUACAGAUUCCCACUACCAUGUGUGUCAAUGGAAUGUAAAUCUCAGUCAAACAUUUUAUAAAUUGUCUAGACUUUAAGAAGUUCCCUAAGUUUUGAUAAAGAAAAUUGCUCUUGCAAUGUUUAAUUAGCUUUAAAUAUUUCCAAUUUCACGCCUCCAAUAUAUGUCCCUAAACAAGUUAGAAUUUCAAAGAAAACUAUUUCCCAGUAUAAGCCAAACAAGAAAAAAUCUAAAUUAAGGUUUCACAUUUAUUAUAUUCUGAUGUUUGUCUUCUCUUCCCUUGAAAAAUUCUUCAGUCUAUCGGUUCAUCAGAAAAUAAUUAAUUUAAUAUUAAUAAGCUGCAAUUUAAGGUACCAUAGCUUUUUAGCCUAUCUUAUGGCACUUCACACAGUAUUAAAGGUGGUUUAAUAGUUUUGCAUUUACUACCUGUUCUGUUAAUAUAAUAGAGGUUUUUUACAAUUUGUAAUAUAUUUUAAAUCCCUGAGGUGUUUUAAAAAUGCAUUCAAUAUUCAUGCAAAUACUUCACAUAAGUAUACACCAGGUAAACUUAACACUGGCCUAUUUGUGGUUUCUUUUAGCUUGUACAAACCCACUAAUUUUAAUGUUUUGUUAAGGUCCAAGACCAUUCAUUCCUCUGAUCUCAGCUCAAACACCUGGAUCUCAGAGGAUUCAUCUCUUCUUAUUGCCACCUACAGUCUCAUCAAUUCAUUUUCUACUUUUUGCUUUCAAUUUUGUAUCACAAGUAAUUUAACCUUGUUACCAGUUUUGUUGAGUCUUGACACUUCAAAACACAAUUAUAUAGAGCUUAAUUAACUCAUUUGGUGCAUCAAUUUUACCUUUUUUUUAAGUCUAAAUUUUUAGCAUUGUACUUCCAUUGAACUAAAAUUUACCUAUCAUGGCACAAAAAAACACAAAAGCAUCAAAACACAAAAAUAGCUACUAAUUUUGCCCCAUCAUUCUCAUAGUUACCAUUAGAAUAUACCACAUGGAUUUACAAAUAAAGAAUUGUUUUUUUCCAUUGUACCAAUAUAGGCUGGCCCACUGACUGAAAGAAUACUGUUCUUGAAUAUUCUCAUAAUGUCAACUUUGAUCUGAAAAAAACACUCAGACAACUAGGCAAGUUACUGACAUAAGCAGUGUCUGAGAACAGUCAUUCUCAGAUGGAAGAGAGCUCAGCGGUUUAAAAUACACUAAGAAAAAAAAAUCUCUGUCUUGAAAAUGACACUAAUAUAGAGCUCUCUGAACUAAUUUUUUUUCCGUGACGUUACUCCACUAAUUUCACAUAUUUUGAUUUGCACCAUAUUAAACUGUAGGAAGAGAGAAUUCCACAAAACAUCUGAGAACACUUUAAACUGACUGAGCACAAUUACACCAGUUAUAACAAUGGACUGUCUUAGUCUUAGAAAACUUUAUUAGCUACUAACCACUAACGGUUGUGAGAUCUUGAAUUCUGUAUGACAUCUGAUACGUAGGAGUCAUGACCAUUAAUUAUUUUAAAAAUACUGUAAUCGUAAACUUCCUUUAAAAAUGCCUACAAAGCAGCCAGUGAUUUCCUAAAUCUGUUAAUGCAGUAUUAUUUUGACAUGGGUCUGUAGAUACAACAAUUUUAUUAAGUGCAAACUCUAAUAGAUCUGCACUUGAUAAUAGUACGAGUGGAGGGAAAAACAAAAAAAUACAUAUGUGCCUUGCUUAUGCCUGCCCAAUAGCAAAUGGGUGACAGAAUAAAAUAAACAAUAAAUAAAUCAAUAAAUAAACCCACCAAGUUUACAGCAAUACUUUUACCAAUACCUCCACUCAAUUUUACUAGUUGUUAGCAAAGGUUGUAUUCAGGUUGUAUUCUGUAUUUAAUCCCUGGAGUUUAGUAAAUUAGUGUGUAGUUUUUAUUGUUUGGUGGGUUUUGUGAGUUUGUAUUGUGCUUCUUUUGGUUUCUGUUUGGUCUGAAUUUUUUUAAAUGCCACUAUUAUUUUUGUUUUUCUGAGUGAAAAGUUUGCAAUAACCAGGACUUAUGAGGUUCCAUGUGCAAGAAGUAGAGUCAGAUUUUGCUACCUGAAAAAACCAAACCAAACUAAAUAUUAGAAAAUAGAAACAAGUGAAAUAGAAAAGCAAACAAAAACCCCAGACAAAAAACUCCAACCAGUACAUUUUUCUUGUAUUUGUCAUUCACACCAGUACUCCAGGAAAAAAAAAAAUUAAAACCACAAAAAACUGUGUAGAAUAACUAAAUUCUGAAUUGAUUAUGAGUUUCAUGAACAACAGCUUGAAAUAACUAAGUCUACAAGGAGUAUAUUUUCUCUUUUCUUCCUACUUAUGCUCCCUUAUCUCUCACACAGACCAUAGCACACACAGCCCAAACAGAAAGUCAAAUUCUUAUAAUGUAGAGUCUAUCUUUAAAGAAAAAUAUUUAGGGUUUUUUUAAUUAUUAUUUAAGUCUAAAAAAUAACCAAAUGAAGAUUUGAGGGGCAGCUAAAUCCCUAAAAUGGCUUUGAAGUGAUGAGUAUGACCUAAGCACUGAAAAAAAAAUCUCUGCUUUAGCCUUUUAAAAGGCAAUUAUGACAUUUAAUUUUGCAAAUCAUGUAACAGAGAAUAAUAUUUUAACUUGUGUUUUAUUCUCAAUUUUAUUUUAAAAGCUACAUUUUAAACAUUAAUAAAACUCACUACUAACAAGCAUGCAGUAGGCUAAGAGAAGUAAUCUUUAGAAUUUGCAGUUAUAGAAUUCUGGUGAGGCUCUCAGCCUGCAGACUGAGCUCCACUCAUAUUCCACCAUAUAUACUCCACCACAUUGGAGGGGUGGGGGGGGGGGAUUCUUCUUUCAUUUAAAGACUUCUUUUGCUAAAUAAGCUAUUUUGCAUGAAUAUUUCAUCAUUAUUGAAGUCAGAAUAAAACAACCAACCAAAUAAAAACACACAUCACAACAACCCAAUGUUGGAAAAGCUUUUUUUUUGUCCAGGUGAAGAUUGAUCAAACAAGCAGCACUGAAAUAUGUUGCACUUUCUUUUACUGAAUCACUGUUGCCAUUUGCUUUACAGAAGAGUUGACUUGACAGCAUUGAAGAUAACUGCAGUAUCCUACAGUUGUCCGGUCACUCACUGCUAAACUAAUUUUUCCCCAAAAUGCACAUUCUCAGACCUUUAUUAAAAUUUAUAGUUUUAAAUACAAAUAUGCAGAAUAAGAUUUUCAAGCCAUGGAAGCUAUUAGAAAAAAAAAAAAACAAAAACAAAACAAAAAAAAA